This 934-nucleotide long non-coding RNA is filed under the name Olea europaea subsp. europaea. Lineage: Eukaryota; Viridiplantae; Streptophyta; Magnoliopsida; Lamiales; Oleaceae. The record is from RNAcentral.
AUUUCACAAUACAAGUUAUGCCCAAGCAAAAAGGCAGAUACAAUAACCUUUCCCUGUAUAAGAUACUUUUCUUAGUGCAGUCUGUUCUACAUUUUCUCAUUCAAAUCCCCCCUUUUCUUCCUCGGAUCUAAAUCUCGAUCUGUUCAUCAAUGGCGUUGGAGUGGGUGGUGCUAGGCUACGCUGCUGGAGCAGAGGCCGUAAUGCUCCUCCUCCUUACUCUCCCGGGCCUUGACCCGCUCCGCAAGGGCCUAAUCAGCGUGACCCGUAGCCUGCUCAAGCCUUUCCUGUCCAUCGUGCCCUUUUGCCUCUUCCUGUUGAUGGAUAUAUACUGGAAAUAUGAAACCCGACCCAGCUGUGAAACCGAAUCCUGUUCUCCGUCCGAACACCUCCGACAUCAAAAAUCGAUUAUGAAGUCUCAGCGAAACGCACUUUUGAUCGCCUCUGCUCUUGUUUUCUAUUGGCUGCUUUAUUCCGUUACCGGCCUUGUUGUGAAGGUCGAUCAGUUGAACAAGCGUAUCGAGAAGUUGAAGGCACAAGAUUAAUUAAUCUGAACUGGAACUUUUCGGAUCUCAGAUAAGGGCAUUUGAUCAAAAAACCUUUUCGUUGUUAGUAUCUGUUAUUAAUAUUUUGAUGAUGAACUGGGUCGUUGGAUGUGUAAUUGCUGCUUUUGACCAUUGUUAGGACGCCUUUUACUUUUCCUUAAUCGACUGAAUUAUAGGUUUGGUACUCGGAUAAUUGAGUAUUUUUUUUAGGGCUUUUGAACUUUUUCUGUUUAAUAUGGUUUUGGUUUAAGCGUGAUUGCAGAAUUUAUGAAAUGCAAUUUAUCUUUGGAUUAUAUUUUGGUUUUUAGUAUUUUGAUUACAGGGAGACUAUGCAUUUACUUAGAUAAUUAUUUUAUACUUUAUUGGUAGUUAUUGAUGGAUUCCAGAUAAAU